This is a long non-coding RNA of Bos taurus (domestic cattle), 1213 nucleotides long. The record is from Ensembl. NCBI's taxonomy places the organism in Eukaryota, Metazoa, Chordata, Mammalia, Artiodactyla, Bovidae.
CUUUUCAAUUGCAUCAGCUUCUUUUUUAAUGUAAUGACGAAUGGAUUCAAUUAGACAGAAACCAUAUUGUGGCUGACAUAUCAAGGGUGUUACUUCUUCCCACAGAUUUCAUUAUGCACACCGACUAAAGGCAUUGCCUUUCUCUGCUGUCUCUCCAGGUUACACUUGUAGGCAGCUCUUUGACCAGAGACAGUAGAUUCUUCUUAAUGAGACCCUGGCAAAAAGGAAAAGAGAAAUCCUCUGAGACACUGGUCAAGAGACAACAAGGAGCAGAAGGGAAUGGCCUUUGGGACUGCUGUGUCAGCCCCAAACUCUUUUGAAAAGGACGAAAACCAGCGACUGAAGCCAGACCGAAGGUGGAAUUGAUGGUCUCGGCGACUGGAAGAAGGCGGGGCCAUCCUCAGUUAAGAAACAGAUGGUAACCAAAAGGAAGCUGGUGUUGGCUGUAUUGGAAGAUGAAGUCAAUUUUAAGAUAAAAGGCACUGCUAAAGAGAAGGAAUAUCCCCACGUGAUGAAAAGGGGUUCAAAUCACCUGGAAGGUGGAAAAGCUGUGCACCAGGAACAUAUCUCCAAGUCUGUCUAGCAGAAAGUGACACAAGGAGAAAUCAAGUCACAGAUCAAAGUGGGAGAUUUUUAACAUCUCUGUUAGGAAUUGAUACACAAGCAGAUAAAAAUCGGAUGGCUAUGGAAAGUUCGGAUGAAAACAGUUAUAAGCUUGAUCUGAUGGACACACAGAACGGUAUCUGAAAACAGUAUAUACUUCAAGCACACAUGGAACAGUGGGGGAAACUCUCAAAGUUCGUAAAACAAGUCAUAUUUUAAAGUGUCAAUGUCAUACAAAGUAUAUUACCUGGUCAUAGCACAAUUUAAAAACGUAAGUGGAAAUUGCUAAAGUUUCCUGUUCGGAAGUUUAGAAACAUGCUUCUAAAUUACCUGUGGGUCAAAGAAUAAUACCUAAUGGAUGUCAGAGUAUUUGGGAUCAAAAGAUAAUGAAGAUGCUAUGCAUUAAAAUGUGUCAGACACAGCAAAGACACUGCAAAAAAGCACUAGAUAGCCUUUAAAAAAAAAAAACAAAAACAAACAAUUUCUCACCUGAACUAUAGCCACCUCAUAUCACCCUGUCUCCAGCUUUGCCACCUCACAGGUCAGUAUCCACAUAGUAAAGAAUUCAAGUCUUUCCUCCUCUAUUUAAACCCAACCUUCCCAUCCCCCA